GUGAGGAAUAUUGGACAAUGGGCGCAAGCCUGAUCCAGCCAUGCCGCGUGCAGGAAGACGCAUCUAUGGUGUGUAAACUGCUUUUGUACGGGAAGAAACACUCCCUCGUGAGGGAGCUUGACGGUACCGUAAGAAUAAGGAUCGGCUAACUCCGUGCCAGCAGCCGCGGUAAUACAGAGGAUCCAAGCGUUAUCCGGAAUCAUUGGGUUUAAAGGGUCCGUAGGCGGUUUAAUAAGUCAGUGGUGAAAGCCCAUCGCUCAACGAUGGAACGGCCAUUGAUACUGUUAGACUUGAAUUACAAGGAAGUAACUAGAAUAUGUAGUGUAGCGGUGAAAUGCUUAGAUAUUACAUGGAAUACCAAUUGCGAAGGCAGGUUACUACUUGUGGAUUGACGCUGAUGGACGAAAGCGUGGGGAGCGAACAGGAUUAGAUACCCUGGUAGUCC
Molecule: ribosomal RNA, 445 nt
Filed under: uncultured bacterium
Lineage: Bacteria
Description: partial 16S ribosomal RNA
Rfam family: Bacterial small subunit ribosomal RNA
Source: RNAcentral